Molecule: long non-coding RNA, 1163 nt
Organism: Neoarius graeffei (lesser salmon catfish)
Lineage: Eukaryota; Metazoa; Chordata; Actinopteri; Siluriformes; Ariidae
Exons: 3
Source: RefSeq, a predicted model, not a curated record
ACUGUUAGAAAUCCAAGAGAAGAGAUCCUCUUCCCUUAGCAUCAUCAGAGGAAAAAUCUGUUUCUUAAUCAGUUCGUUUCAGCGUUUGUCUCUUCUCGAGCAAGGCGUGCGUUUGGACUCAAGGUUUCAUUUGACUCUCCUGCUGUUUUUUUUUCCAGCUGUAAUUCAUAACGCGCUCUGUGACCUUCUCCCUCCCUCAGGACUCUGUGGUCUGUGUGUUCUGGUGUCUGCUGAGUCACCAGAAAUCUGCCAAGACACUGACACUUGCGCCUGCUUCAACAUCUGGCGCAUAAGGGCUUUAAGGUUUCCAGAACCAAGCUGCAAUAUUGCAUGGACACUUAAGUAUUUGAACUUUUGAAGUUUUGAACUUUCUCAAGGCUGUCAUUCUAGACACAAAACCUCCUCCACUGCAACAUCCUUUGACCUGGACUGACGCUAUGGUGGUCACUUAUCACUCCCUCAGAAGCACCCUUUGUUCCGCCCCUGGGUUACCUGCUCACUUCAAGCCCUUCCACCUCUAUGCCUGUGGACACCGGGGCACGGCCUCUGGGGAACAUGAGGGGGGGGAGGUGCAUCAUUGUGCGUUUUUAUCCAAAACAUUAGACAUUGUUGCUCAAGGCUUACCUGCGUGUCUGGGGGCUGUCUCCGCAUGUGCUUUGAUGGUUUGAUGGUUGUAAAAUUGACAGACCCAUUAAAUUAAUUAAUCAGUAAUUUAAUAGAUAAUUAGAUUAACAUAUGACUAUUUAUUCUCUGUUCUACUCACAUCCUCUUUUGAUAAUGUAGGUCGCGCUCUCUGCCUUAACGAACAGUUUAUUCUCCAGCAGAUGUUGAAGAACCUGCCGGAUGCAACCCCGAUGUUCCUCCAGGGAGCAAGAGAAAAUCAAGAUAUCAUCCAGAUAAACAAAGACACUGAGAAAAUGUAUCAUUUAAAGAGAAAAAUUAGGUGAUUUUGGGGCGGCACGGUGGUGUAGUGGUUAGCGCUGUCGCCUCACAGCAAGAAGGUCCUGGGUUCGAGCCCCGGGGCCGGCGAGGGCCUUUCUGCGCGGAGUUUGCAUGUUCUCCCCGUGUCUGCGUGGGUUUCCUCCGGGUGCUCCGGUUUCCCCCACAGUCCAAAGACAUGCAGGUUAGGUUAACUGGUGACUCUAAAUUGAGCGUAGGUGUGA